This 372-nucleotide unclassified non-coding RNA is filed under the name uncultured Gammaproteobacteria bacterium. Its description in RNAcentral is "contains 16S-23S intergenic spacer region". The record is from RNAcentral. Lineage: Bacteria; Pseudomonadati; Pseudomonadota; Gammaproteobacteria.
UCCGGUUUGUCACCGGCAGUCUCCCUAGAGUGCCCUUGCGUAGCAACUAGGGACAAGGGUUGCGCUCGUUGCGGGACUUAACCCAACAUCUCACGACACGAGCUGACGACAGCCAUGCAGCACCUGUGUUCCGGUUCCCUUUCAGGCACACCCAGCUCUCACCGGGCUUCCAGACAUGUCAAGGGUAGGUAAGGUUGUUCGCGUUGCAUCGAAUUAAUCCACAUCAUCCACCGCUUGUGCGGGUCCCCGUCAAUUCCUUUGAGUUUUAACCUUGCGGCCGUACUCCCCAGGCGGAUCACUUCACGCGUUAGCUACGGUACCAGGAGAUCGCUCCCCCAACACCUAGUGAUCAUCGUUUAGGGCGUGGACUAC